RNAcentral lists this ribosomal RNA (440 nucleotides) under uncultured bacterium. RNAcentral describes it as "partial 16S ribosomal RNA". It matches the Rfam family "Bacterial small subunit ribosomal RNA", at positions 339 to 795 of the family's 1533-position model. The record is from RNAcentral.
CUACGGGCUGCUCCAGUGGGGAAUCUUGUGCAAUGGGCGAAAGCCUGACACAGCAACGCCGCGUGCGGGAAGAAGGCCUUCGGGUCGUAAACCGCUUUCAGCAGGAACGAAAAUGACGGUACCUGCAGAAGAAGGUGCGGCCAACUACGUGCCAGCAGCCGCGGUGACAGGUAGGCACCAAGCGUUGUCCGGAUUUAUUGGGCGUAAAGAGCUCGUAGGCGGUUCAGCAAGUCGGGUGUGAAAACUCUGGGCUUAACCCAGAGCCUGCACCCGAAACUGCUGUGACUAGAGUUCGGUAGGGGAGCGGGGAAUUCCUGGUGUAGCGGUGAAAUGCGCAGAUAUCAGGAGGAACACCGGUGGCGAAGGCGCCGCUCUGGGCCGAAACUGACGCUGAGGAGCGAAAGCGUGGGUAGCAAACAGGAUUAGAUACCCUCGUAGUC